Molecule: ribosomal RNA, 424 nt
Filed under: uncultured bacterium
Lineage: Bacteria
Description: partial 16S ribosomal RNA
Rfam family: Bacterial small subunit ribosomal RNA
Source: RNAcentral
GAAUAUUGGACAAUGGGCGAAAGCCUGAUCCAGCCAUGCCGCGUGUGUGAAGAAGGUCUUCGGAUUGUAAAGCACUUUAAGUUGGGAGGAAGGGCAGUAAGCGAAUACCUUGCUGUUUUGACGUUACCGACAGAAUAAGCACAGGCUACCUCUGUGCCAGCCGCCGCGGUAAUACAGAGGGGGCAAGCGGUAAGCGGAAGUACUGGGCGUAAAGCGCGCGGAGGUGGUUCGUUAAGUUGGAUGUGAAAUCCCUGGGCUCAACCUGGGAACUGCAUCCAAAACUGGCGAGCUAGAGUAGGGCAGAGGGUGGUGGAAUUUCCUGUGUAGCGGUGAAAUGCGUAGAUAUAGGAAGGAACACCAGUGGGGAAGGCGACCACCUGGGCUCAUACUGACACUGAGGUGCGAAAGCGUGGGGAGCAAACAG